Unclassified non-coding RNA from Chelonoidis abingdonii (Abingdon island giant tortoise), 178 nucleotides. Lineage: Eukaryota; Metazoa; Chordata; Testudines; Testudinidae. The record is from Ensembl.
UAAGUAACCCCAGAAUAUAAAGUUCUCCAUUUCUCCACAGGGCAGGUACAGCACAAGCACUGGCAGUGCAGACUCCUAUCAUUCUGCACCCUGCCCUGUGCCUCUCGCCUGAACGGCUGGAGGGGUCCCCUCAAGAGUGAAAGGGGAAUUCAUGCUGCAGGACUUCUCUAUUGGGAUU